Molecule: transfer RNA, 66 nt
Filed under: Metapenaeus intermedius
Lineage: Eukaryota; Metazoa; Arthropoda; Malacostraca; Decapoda; Penaeidae
Description: tRNA-Asn
Source: RNAcentral
UUGGUUAAAGCCAAAAAGAGGCAUAUCACUGUUAAUGAUAGAACUGGAAUUAUUUUCCUAGCCAAG